Molecule: non-coding RNA, 1339 nt
Organism: Miniopterus natalensis
Lineage: Eukaryota; Metazoa; Chordata; Mammalia; Chiroptera; Miniopteridae
Source: RefSeq, a predicted model, not a curated record
CCGCCCUGAUUGGCAGCUGAGGUGAGGGUAGAGCUCUCCCCAAAUUAAAUCCCAGAAGCUCUGACUUGGGGGAGGGGCGCCCUCCACCCCCUGAAGGACAAAAGGCAAGGCUUCCAGGUAAUGGUCCAAAUGGAGGUAAAUAAUUAAGAGGUCGCCUUUGAGAGUUAUCCAUUAACAACCUUAACGUGGAGCCUCCGAGUCCCCUGUGAUGAGAAAGAAAGGACCCCCCCCCCCAUCAGGUUAAAUGCAAAUGUCUGCGGUAGACGGAGCUCCUGUUCAGGGGGGUCUGACCUGUGAAUCUGUAAGCUUCGGUUAGUUCAGGGAUCUGCAAAAGUCUGAGCUGAUUUUCUUUUCAAAAAUGUAAUUUCUGAGCGCACGCUCAGAUUCUUACCUAUCCAGUUGUAUGUAACACCGGAUACCCCCAUUUAUUCCUGUGGUGGGCGAUCCUGUCUGCGAAUCCCAGCGCCCAGCCCCCUUUCUUGUUCCUGAGAGGCUACCCCGUUUCUGCCCCCCUGGCAGAGCCUGUAGGUGGGGGUCUCACCUCCACCCCACCCGCGGGCCGUCAGAAACGCCUGGGAGGUCCUUGCGUUCCCAGCAGCUGUCAAGACCCAGAAGGAAUUUUUAGAGUCAACUUGCCUUGACAUAACCUAAAACCCAGAAGGCUCUGGUUUCUGUCCAUCCCCCAAACUGACUCUCUACCCUCAAGCCUCAGUGCAUCCUGGUGUGGAAGUUUAGAGCCCUCUCUUGAUCUUUCUAUUCUUUGUAAAUGUCCCGCCCGGCCACGCCCCUCGCAGAAUAUUGUAUUGCUGUGUUCACUGUUGCUCCCCGGAAUCUGAGCUUCCAUAACUGCUACACAAACCUCAGGCGGAUUUGCUCAUCGCGUGCUGUUCUCCCAUCAAGGCACAGUCGUAUGGUAACAAGGGGCAGUGCGCCAUUUCUUAGCGUCCUAUUGCGGCACUAAGACUGUACUUGUGGAUUUCGGGGGCUGUCCAUACACAGAGUGAGUGGGUUCAGUGUUGCCUGCAAAAUCCUCGUCUCCUACCGCUUCUCUUUGGAGCUUUUCUGGACCGGUUGAAGAGUUUCCUGAGAUCGCAACGCAAGCUGUUGUGCAAAACUGGUGCCAUUCGAAGAGACUUAUCUGUGUGAAUCAAGACGUUGCCGGCAUAGCAGACCCUAAACAGAAAGCCCCAUGUACGCUGGAUGUGCUGGCCGAUGGCAGGCAGCAGCUGGCCUUUGGAAACCCCUGAUUUCAAAAGUGGGUUCAGUUAAAUCUCUUCCUUGUUCCUGUGGUUGAUGCUGUGUUGUACAAACAUAAAAUAAACGUAGCUAAUGCAACGCA